RNAcentral lists this long non-coding RNA (1191 nucleotides) under Arachis ipaensis. Its description in RNAcentral is "long non-coding RNA (AIPA_LNC000171)". The record is from RNAcentral. Lineage: Eukaryota; Viridiplantae; Streptophyta; Magnoliopsida; Fabales; Fabaceae.
ACCCUUUUAAUAAUUUGCAUUAUAUCUGUACCGACACAACAAUGGGAACAGUGCAGUUCUGCAAAAAUACAUUGUCACAUCUGAACAUUUUCCAAGUAUAAGGUGAGUACUACUGUCUACACAUGUAGAUAACACAUGUUAAUGUUUUAGGAUAUUUUGCAGUAAUCUUAAAUGACAAAUUUUUUUAUAAUGGAUCCCAUAAAAAGUUGGUGAUUAUUUUUUGUUGGUCCCAACCUUUAUUAACCAUAUUGCUAACUCAGGUGAUUACAGAAAUUAAUUUCUAAAAUUAGUCGAAAUAAAGAAAUAUUAUUUAAUUUCUUUUAAUAAUAAAAGCAUUUCUGAGUAAAAAAAUAGUAGAAAUUAUUUUGUGUGGAAUAGCCAAUCAGUGGCUAAAAAAUUUAGAUAUAAAAGUGGUAUAAGUGAUAUACUUUUAACAUGAUAAUUUUUUGUGUUUUUUAAAAUUGUGUAAGAUAUAUAAAUCAGACCGUCCGAUUUCUGUACCACAAAUUUUUUUAAUUUUUUUUAACACAAAUCGGUCAAUUUGUGUACCUCUCACAAUACAAAUGGAACGGUCUGAUUUUUGUACAUAUACAAAUUGAACGGUCCGAUUUUUACUUCUCUAAUUAAACGAUUUCACCUUUGAGAAUAACACUCUAACCAUCCACAUUUCAAAAAAACACAUUUACCAUUCCAAUAUCAAAAACAAAAAAAUGCCAAUCAGUCACUUAGAAAUUUUUUUGUGACUUUGACAAAGGAAAUAACGACAAAGAAACAAAAUAAAGAAAAGGAGGCACAUAGCGUUAGAAAAAGAAAACUAACUUGUUAAGCAACAUCCGCCUCUGCUCUAAUGAUUACAUCAAGUUCAUUCCUCGAAGACAACUAUUCAGCAUAAUCAAAUGACCCUCGAGCUUCUCGCUUAGCCGUCCAAUCAGCAACACUAUUAUCUUCACGAUGCACAGAUCAAAGUAAACUUUCCAAUUGCUAAAGACAAGUUCUUGAAUUUUCAUCACAUGGUCUCUCUCUCUCUCCUGUUUGAGCAGGAGGUUGAUGGAUUUGAAGAAAGAGAAGAUACAUCUCUAAACAAUCAAUUUCACACACCACCUAUUUAAUGCUACAAUCUCUAGCCAAAACUAUACCUAUCCAAAGAGCAAAAUGCUCGCAUAUGAAAACACUCCAUUUCCUUUAGAAUUU